Molecule: transfer RNA, 78 nt
Filed under: Gammaproteobacteria bacterium
Lineage: Bacteria; Pseudomonadati; Pseudomonadota; Gammaproteobacteria
Also listed under: 2 other names
Description: tRNA-Leu
Source: RNAcentral
GGCCACCUGACUGGAAUUGGUAUACCUCGCCGGCUUAGAACCGGCGGCUUCCCGGUUCGAUUCCGGGGGUGGCUACCA